This 202-nucleotide transfer RNA is filed under the name Arabidopsis thaliana (thale cress). RNAcentral describes it as "ATSL057610". The stretch from base 94 to 178 matches the Rfam family "tRNA". Lineage: Eukaryota; Viridiplantae; Streptophyta; Magnoliopsida; Brassicales; Brassicaceae. The record is from RNAcentral.
AAUACAGACUCACUAUGAGUAUGCUAACUUAAUACAAAUCAUUUUGCUGAUAGAAUAUUUAGAUCAGUACACAUGCAUGAAAUAGAAUACAAUCCGACCUUAGCUCAGUUGGUAGAGCGGAGGACUGUAGUAGACGCAGAUUAUCCUUAGGUCACUGGUUCGAAUCCGGUAGGUCGGAAUUUGCUCCCACAUGAGAGCUUUU